Long non-coding RNA from Helianthus annuus (common sunflower), 3542 nucleotides. RefSeq lists it as uncharacterized. The transcript has 4 exons. The record is from RefSeq and is a predicted model, not a curated record. Lineage: Eukaryota; Viridiplantae; Streptophyta; Magnoliopsida; Asterales; Asteraceae.
AUAACAUACUUUUUACCAAGUUAUUCAACAAACCAUCUUUUACUCUCAACUUCGCAUCUUUGGUUCUCUCCUACACCACACAAACUAGCCCCUAAAUUUUAUCCAUGUGUCUUUUUUGGUUAUCCAUCUCAUCGUCAUAGCUAACGAUGUCUUGAUCUUCUCACUAGAAAGUUUAUCGUCACUCAUCAUGUUUUUUAAUGAAUCUCUGUUUCCAUUUGCUUAGUUUUCUCCCACAUAAUCACCCCUGAUAUGACUUCCUAUAUUAUUCCAUUAACCCUUCACCUAUCUCCUGUUAGUUUCUCGAGUCUCACAUUCCCAAUCCAUAUGUAACCGGGGUGCUGUCAUUAAAUACCUCAUCGACCAACCCUCCCUCAUCUCAACCAUCUAGCUCACCACUUGAGGAUACAAACCCUUCCCAAUAGAUCCAUUAUCGUCACAACAGUCAUAACAUCCAUCUAUACUCACCCUAUGCUCACUGAGCCCAACAAGGCAUUACCAAACCAACCGUUAAGCUUAAUCUUCAUGUCACCACAUCUUCCAAUCCCCCCGUCUUACACAAUACACAUAUUCCCUAUAGGAUCCUCAAUGGUACGACGCCAUGCCGGAUGAAUAUAGUGCUCUAUAGUGCUCUUAUUUCUUAAUUAAAAAAAUGUCAAUUAUAUAAAACUCUAAUUUCUAACAUUCUUAUGCAUUGCUACUUGUACUUUGUGUUUUAAAAUUUGUUUGGUGGUUUCUAUGAAACCAUGGAUGGGUUUCUUUCCACGUGUUCAACCCCAAAAUGAUUGCAACCCUAAGAAGGCUACGUGUUCAUCUUCAGAUCAUCAAGGCUAUGAAAUCAUCAACAGUCUUGCGGUGAAGUAAACAAACAUUAGAGAGAAAAGGAAGGCUGGUGAGGGUGGAUCGAGAACAGAGACCGGUACUUCCGUCGUGCAAGCUUCUUAAGUGUGGCAGGGGAGGUUGACCGGCGAUGGCCGUUCAACUGGUGGUAGUCCUCACCAUUUCAAGCUCUUUAACCCGAAUCUCACACCUGCAUUCAUCAGGUUAAAUCCCCCAAUUUUAUGCAGCAAUGCUUCUUCCCUGAUUUUAGGGUUUUUAGAGACCCUGCUUCCUUAAUCAAUUACUGAAAUUUGUUUGAAGACUGUAUUUAUUUUUAGGUUUUUGAUGUUUAGUUUUGAUAUUUGUGUGUUUAUGAUGUUGUAAUAUUGCUUCUGUGUUUGUAUGGAAGAUAUUGUUGUUAAAAUUUGUGUUGUAAUGUAUUGUGAUGUGAUGUUAUGUUUAGCGAAGUUGUUGUGGAUGAUUGUGUUGUUUAUCGAACAUGAGGUUUUCUUAGGUGAUGGAAGGGAUGAUGAUGAUACAUUCAGCUGGGAUCUUGCUUUUGGUUACUUGCUUCAUGCUUGGUUAACUAUCCUCAGAAGAGAUUAUUUUUAAUGGAUGUGCAGUUUAUCACACUAGAUGGCACAAGGAUAAGAGCAACUCCAAGAAUCAUAACAAAUCUUAAAUAGCACUCAGAAUACAGCCAUGUGUCCCCAUCUGAACCUGAACUGCACAAAAGAGGAUGGUUAAUAAAAAUCUUAGUCUUAAUGUUUGUUUUAUGGCUAUCAACAUUUAUUAGAAUGAGAAACAAUAAGUAUUUCAAAUAUGAAUUAACAUUAAGUCUAUAUACAAAUUAAUGUUUGUUUCGAUCUUAAUUCGUAAAUUGAUUAACUAAGUUGUUUUUACGCUUCUGAUCAGGCCGACGACAACAAAAUUUGCAGCCAUUGGCAAUACAAAGGCUUCUAUUUCUUUUCAUGUCUUCUUUCUUUGUGACGUUGUAUCGUGCUUUGUUUUUCUGCAUUCUGUUUCUGCCAUCUAUUCUAUUUCAGGUUUGUUUGUCGGUACUUUGAUUUGUGCAAUUUGUUGAUUUGCUCAUAUACCAUGUAUGUAACUUGCUUGAAAAUUGUGAUAAUUUGUAUUAGCUGUUUUAAGUGAUGUAGUAGAAUUAGUAACAUGAGAGAAUGUAACGCAUUACAAAUUAUAGAUAUAAUCCAGAUGCAAAUUAUAAAAACAUUUAGGGUUAUUAUUUAUUAAAGAACAUGGUCGUGGUUUAUGCUUCAUAGAGUCUAGGAAUACUUUUGAUUAUUAUAGAUGUUAUGGCCUUGCAUUUGGUAACAAUAAAAUAAGAAUAAAUAAACAAAAGAAAUGCCAACUGGAGCUGGUGGAUAUUUAAGCAAUACAAGAUGCACACAUAAGUUAUCUCUUUGAGUUAAAUUGAUCAGAUGACAUACACUGGUAGCAAAUCCUUUCUAUUUUGAAGUCAUUUUUUGAAAUCUUAUAGUAUUUCCAUGUUAUAGCUUAAAUUAUAGUAAGUUUUGAAGUCAUUUUUUGAAUCUUAUAGUAUUUCCAUGUUAUAACUUAAAUAAUAGUAAGUUACCUGCUUCUGAAUCAGAUUACACACAUUUUUUUUGUCUUUUGUUGAUAUGCUAUGUCAAGUGUAUAUUGCGUUAGGUAUUGUAAUUUCUAAGUUUGUGGAAUCCUUAUAUAAUGGAAACUGGCUUUUGUAAUGUUGGAGUAUGAGAAAAUAGUCGAAGGGUCACAGGAAAAAGUAGACAUCCUAAAGUAGAUCAAUGACAUAAAGAAUCAUCGUUCCCAUUUGGAUAGUAGUGUAGAUGCGAUCGGGGUGCAACUAUUUGACUCUGGCAAUGGUUUUAUGAUUGUCAACUCUCUUCGGGCUCAAGGGAGUCAACAGUAGAUGAUUGGGGAUGCCUAAAGUCCAUGGAUCGUGUGUUUGAGACGAAUUGUGGUGCGCUGAGAGAAUACAGGAUGAAACACAUGCGGGCAUUUGCCAACAUUUGUAACAAUAAUGUUACCGAGGCCGCCAUGGCAUCGGCCUUGGCAGAUGUUUGUGGCGAGCAUCAUGAUGGGCAGUGGAGUCCUUUGAAGAUGGGAUGUAGUGCUUGAUUAAGACGAUUGUGAUCUAAAGAAAAAAAAAGCCCAGUUAGCUAAAGCACGAGGUGAUAUUCAUAAAGCCACUACUCAAAAAAGUUUUGCAUUGUCUAAAAAGAAUGAAUUAUGUCUUCGACUGAAGUCGCUGAACCUGAGGUUAAGGAGGAUGGAUAUGCAAGUUUGGGAAUCGGGCUAAGUAAGUUUUCAGGUUCAAUUCCUAAUCACACCUAUAAUUCACAUAUUCAACUCAUCAUGCAAAGAAGCAAGGGAGCAACAUUGAUUUUGCAACAUCAAAGAAUUUUGCAAAUCCACAUGGGAGCAACUAUGAUUUUGUAAAUUGAAGGCGGUGGCGGUGAUGAUAAGUUGCGACCAUAACACACAUAUUAAACCUAGACACAAACUUUUGGGUCUAGCUUAUGCAUUUAACUAAAUCAAUGUGACUUAACGACAACCGGCCGAAUAUAGCUUUAAAUCUAGCCCCCGCCGCAUCGCGGCGGGUUGCAUUUCUAGUUCUAUCAAAAUCUCAAACAUUAUUUUGUAAUUCCUAAAUCUUCGUUUGUAAUAAUCUAAUAUCUUCUUUGUUUAACCAGUGUAACACUCGAGUUUCUAACCUUCAUACA